Molecule: long non-coding RNA, 797 nt
Organism: Apis florea (little honeybee)
Lineage: Eukaryota; Metazoa; Arthropoda; Insecta; Hymenoptera; Apidae
Source: RefSeq, a predicted model, not a curated record
UUUUGUUAAAGAUGCCUGACUUUGCCUGUGUUUAUGAACAUUUCUACUGGACUACAAUUUAAAAAAAUAUUUGUGAUCGCGUGCAAUGCGGUCUGUAGAAUCAGUGUUUGUUACGUAACAGUUUUUUUUUAAAUAUUUUAGUGUAUAAUAGCUCUAAUUAAAUUAUCAUAAGUAUUCGGGAAACUAGAGUCAGUGCUUGUUCGUCGCCUAUAUUUUAAAUCGACGCGGUGGUAGUUUUUUAUUUUUUAUUUUAUUUUUUUAAAUAUUCGUUUUCGGUACAGGGUAGAGUCAGUGUUUCUCGAAGGAAUAGGGCAAUCAUCCACCACGCGAAGAGUUUCCACUUCCUGAUGAUGACUACUUUCACGAUGACAUCUUGGGCCACGACAAUGCAGAUUCUUCGCAUCUAUUGGUGAGUCGCAUGCAUUUAUGUUCCUCCGGUCAUUCAAUCAUGUCGUAGGACGAAAGGUCCCAAUCGACACGGAUGAUUGGUUGUAUACGUAGAUUUUUGCACGAGCAUAAUGACCGCGGGUAUUUAUCAUACCCGUGAAUAGUAACAUUUCUUUGUACUUUAUUUAUUAGAUCAGGAUAGAUCUUCUUGCACGUCGCGUUUUUAAGAUAAUAUUAAUAGUUAAUAUUAUAUAAUAUAUAUCUAAAAUUAUUUUAAUAUGAUUAGUAUGGACGAUACAAAUUAGUUUGAUUGUUUAUAGUUGAAAAUGUUUUGUAAUUUAUUUGUAAAAUAAAGAUUAAACAACUAUAUGAAUCGAACUAUUUGAAUAACUAUAUGAAUUUAGUAAUAA